AAGCUGCGGCAGCGACACUAUGUGUUGUUGGGUAGGGGAGCGUUCUGUAAGCCUGCGAAGGUGUGCUGUGAGGCAUGCUGGAGGUAUCAGAAGUGCGAAUGCUGACAUAAGUAACGAUAAAGCGGGUGAAAAGCCCGCUCGCCGGAAGACCAAGGGUUCCUGUCCAACGUUAAUCGGGGCAGGGUGAGUCGACCCCUAAGGCGAGGCCGAAAGGCGUAGUCGAUGGGAAACAGGUUAAUAUUCCUGUACUUGGUGUUACUGCGAAGGGGGGACGGAGAAGGCUAUGUUAGCCGGGCGACGGUUGUCCCGGUUUAAGCAUGUAGGCUGGUUGUCCAGGCAAAUCCGGAUAAUCAAGGCUGAGGUGUGAUGACGAGGCACUACGGUGCUGAAGUAACAAAUGCCCUGCUUCCAGGAAAAGCCUCUAAGCAUCAGGUAACAUCAAAUCGUACCCCAAACCGACACAGGUGGUCAGGUAGAGAAUACCAAGGCGCUUGAGAGAACUCGGGUGAAGGAACUAGGCAAAAUGGUGCCGUAACUUCGGGAGAAGGCACGCUGGUGUGUAGGUGAAGUCCCUGCGGAUGGAGCUGAGACCAGUCGAAGAUACCAGCUGGCUGCAACUGUUUAUUAAAAACAC
Molecule: ribosomal RNA, 634 nt
Filed under: Klebsiella pneumoniae
Lineage: Bacteria; Pseudomonadati; Pseudomonadota; Gammaproteobacteria; Enterobacterales; Enterobacteriaceae
Description: partial 23S ribosomal RNA
Rfam family: Bacterial large subunit ribosomal RNA
Source: RNAcentral